AGAUUGCGGAUCCGCGGCCGCAGAGUUUGAUCCUGGCUCAGAACGAACGCUGGCGGCAGGCCUAACACAUGCAAGUCGAGCGAACCCUUCGGGGUUAGCGGCGGACGGGUGAGUAACGCGUGGGAAUAUGCCCUUUGCUACGGAAUAGCCCCGGGAAACUGGGAGUAAUACCGUAUACGCCCUUUGGGGGAAAGAUUUAUCGGCAAAGGAUUAGCCCGCGUUGGAUUAGGUAGUUGGUGGGGUAAUGGCCUACCAAGCCGACGAUCCAUAGCUGGUUUGAGAGGAUGAUCAGCCACACUGGGACUGAGACACGGCCCAGACUCCUACGGGAGGCAGCAGUGGGGAAUCUUAGACGAUGGGGGCAACCCUGAUCUAGCCAUGCCGCGUGAGUGAUGAAGGCCCUAGGGUUGCAAAGCUCUUUCAGCUGGGAAGAUAAUGACGGUACCAGCAGAAGAAGCCCCGGCUAACUCCGUGCCAGCAGCCGCGGUAAUACGGAGGGGACUAGCGUUGUUCGGAAUUACUGGGCGUAAAGCGCACGUAGGCGGACCGGAAAGUUGGGGGUGAAAUCCCGGGGCUCAACCUCGGAACUGCCUUCAAAACUAUCGGUCUGGAGUUCGAGAGAGGUGAGUGGAAUUCCGAGCGUAGAGGUGAAAUUCGUAGAUAUUCGGAGGAACACCAGUGGCGAAGGCGGCUCACUGGCUCGAUACUGACGCUGAGUGCGAAAGCGUGGGGAGCAAACAGGAUUAGAUACCCAGGUAGUCCACGCCGUAAACGAUGAAUGCCAGUCGUCGGGCAGCAUGCUGUUCGGUGACACACCUAACGGAUUAAGC
Molecule: ribosomal RNA, 830 nt
Filed under: uncultured Paracoccus sp.
Lineage: Bacteria; Pseudomonadati; Pseudomonadota; Alphaproteobacteria; Rhodobacterales; Paracoccaceae
Description: bacterial SSU rRNA
Rfam family: Bacterial small subunit ribosomal RNA
Source: RNAcentral